UACGUAGGGUGCAAGCGUUGUCCGGAAUUAUUGGGCGUAAAGAGCUCGUAGGCGGUCUGUCACGUCGGCUGUGAAAACCCGGGGCUCAACCCCGGGCCUGCAGUCGAUACGGGCAGACUAGAGUGCGGUAGGGGAGACUGGAAUUCCUGGUGUAGCGGUGAAAUGCGCAGAUAUCAGGAGGAACACCGGUGGCGAAGGCGGGUCUCUGGACAGUUCCUGACACUGAGGCACGAAGGCCAGGGGAGCAAACGGG
RNAcentral lists this ribosomal RNA (253 nucleotides) under uncultured bacterium. RNAcentral describes it as "partial 16S ribosomal RNA". It matches the Rfam family "Bacterial small subunit ribosomal RNA", at positions 524 to 776 of the family's 1533-position model. The record is from RNAcentral.